CGGGUUGUCAUGCCAAUGGCACUGCCCGGUAGCUAAAUGCGGAAGAGAUAAGUGCUGAAAGCAUCUAAGCACGAAACUUGCCCCGAGAUGAGUUCUCCCUGACUCCUUGAGAGUCCUGAAGGAACGUUGAAGACGACGACGUUGAUAGGCCGGGUGUGUAAGCGCAGCGAUGCGUUGAGCUAACCGGUACUAAUGAACCGUGAGGCUUAACCUUACAACGCCGAAGAUGUUUUG
RNAcentral lists this ribosomal RNA (234 nucleotides) under Escherichia coli IS35. RNAcentral's name for it is "Large Subunit Ribosomal RNA; lsuRNA; LSU rRNA". It matches the Rfam family "Bacterial large subunit ribosomal RNA", at positions 2717 to 2925 of the family's 2925-position model. The record is from RNAcentral. Lineage: Bacteria; Pseudomonadati; Pseudomonadota; Gammaproteobacteria; Enterobacterales; Enterobacteriaceae.